CUAGCUCUACUCGCCGUGUGGAACGCCAGAGCCGACUGAGCGCGCUGCCCACCGCCGGUGGACACGGGCUCCGCGGCGCUGGACCCCGGUGACAGGUUUGGGGCCUUAGAAUCUUGCAGAAAGCAGAACCACACAGUUGCAUCUCCACUUAUACCCUCCUUUAAGUCCCCCUCCAAAACUGGGGGUGCCUCUGGAAAGCUCUGAGCCUGUUACCUAGCUUGGGAGAAGAUAGGUACAAGAUGGCCAUGUGGCAGGG
Molecule: long non-coding RNA, 256 nt
Filed under: Rattus norvegicus (Norway rat)
Lineage: Eukaryota; Metazoa; Chordata; Mammalia; Rodentia; Muridae
Description: long non-coding RNA NONRATT030460
Source: RNAcentral